UCCCCUGUGGUGACUUAGGGGAGGAGCCGGAAGAGAGCAGCGCUUCACAAUAAAAGGAAGAAUUGCUUGAACGGAGGCGGAGGCGUUUCAGGCAUGAGUCACAGGCUGGGUGUGGAGGAGGAAAGUGUGAAGCAAGGAACAGGCACCAGCUGAGACGUUGGCAGCAGCCGCUCCCCUGCAAGGAGCCCCUCCCACUUCCUGUCCCGCACACCUGCCUCAUUGGAAAGCGACGCACCCACUGUUUGGCCUCGGCAGCCUGAUGUUUCUCACCACACAGGAAGACAGUCAUGCUACAGGAAGACCUCGGACUUUGCAUCCAGCAGAUGGUUGUUCUAGGAAUUGCCAGAUUGACAACACACCACACACCCAGAAGGCACCCAAGUCACAGAGCCUGAUAUUGUUCCCAGAGCGCCAUUGCAUCACCCUUGACCACAAGACCUGCGUCAUUGGAUUUGUCUCCAAAACUUGGGACUCUGGAGAUAAAACGUCGUUGCAAGGCUACCUUUGCCACUGAAUCUUAGCAGCUUUUGAAGCAAAGCAUUUCAAUAUUUAGACACUGUGUGUUUCUAAUGGGUACUGGGAUCAAAAUAAUAAAAACUCAGCCUGCAAAGGGAGAAGAAUAGAAACCAGCAGAUUCAUUAUUUCACAGAAUGUUCCUCUCCUCUCAGUUCCUUGGCUGUAAAACAUUUUAUCAACUCUUGGCUGUGAUCUGUGGACAAUGACUGUGCACACCUACAGACUCACUCCUCAUCUUCGUGAGGCUGGGACAAGGGUACCCACGGAGGCUUGUCCCACAUCUGUAAAGGCCUCACAUGCAUGGCUGUGAGCCUCUCAGCCCUCAGGUCCGAGCUCCCCUACCCCUUAAACAACUCUCCCAACCCCACCCCACCUCAGGUCCAGGGUGAACAUUCCAGCAGUGUGGUUCACAGAACAUUCCACAGGGGAGACCCAGGGAAGACACCUGCACAGUCCUUAGAAAAAGGCUUAGGGUUUGAGGGUAAGGAAUCCCAGGAUCCCAGAUACCUGGUGUGGGCUUCAGGUGGGCUCGUGCCCUUGACCCUCCCAGCUAAGUGGCUCUGCUGGAGGAGGCGGACCAGAGUGGGACCCUCAAAGGCACAGAGCCCUGGGCCAAAACCCCCAAAUGCUCAAGUUUAAAAGUGAUACUUUAUCCUCGGGAAUCCUUGCGAAGUAGGAGUGAUUGUUUUCAAGAUAGCUUUAUGUUAAUACUCAAUUUAACCAAUUCGAGAAAUCGACAUAAAAUCAGCUAACCCCGUAUGUGUUUUUUUUGUUGUUGUUGUCGUUUUGUUUUGUUUUUGGCCCCUGACUUUUGUGGAGACCCAUGAGAUGCUUGGUCCUGAGCCUAAAGGAUGCAGGGGCCUGGCUGGGACCCAGCUGGGAAGCUGAUGCUGUUCUCCAGGAAACCUCUCUCCGCAGCCCGAAUGCUUGACUUUGAACUUUUCCAAGACUUCCAGCACCAGAGACUCAGGACUGACCAACUUUCUCAAUAUCCUAUUCCCCCAACCCCACUCUGGGCUCCCAGUCAAUCUCCCUCCCCCCUUUUUCCCCUGUAAAAAACCUAAACUGCUCAGUUAUUCUCCCUCAACCCCUGGAUCACAUCAGCCCCAUGGAGAGCUCCACUCUGGUCCACCACCUCCAGCAGAGCCACUUAGCUGGGAGGGCCAAGGGCGCAAGCCCACCGGGAGCCCACACCGGGUAUCUGGGAUCCUGGAAUUCCUCACCCCAAAUGCUAACCCUAAUUUUAGAACCUGAUCACAAAGGAUUUCAUCCUUGAAAGAAACUGUUCCAGCAAUCUUGAUUUUGACAUGAGUCUGGAAAGGAUCUUGAGCACUACAUGGGUCCCACUGGGGGUCCCACUGGGGGUCUCCUCCCAGUGGCUCCUGUUCCCUCCCGGCACAGCUGGCCUUUGCUCUGCACCUCCACUCCGCACUGAGGUCCCUUUGGCUAGUCCUCAUGGAGGGGCCUCAGGAGAAGUGGGGAAAGCACAGGUUCCCCACAAAAGACUCCAAUGUGGGCUCAGCCUAGUCAUGUGACCCUAGACAAGCUUUUAAUUUGCCUGCACCCCACAGCACAAGUAACCUCCCCUGCUGUUAUGGGUUGAGUUAUGUUCCUCCAAAAAAGAUCUGUUGCAGUCCUAACCCCCAGGACCUGAAAAUGUGACCGUAUUUGGGCAUAGGGUCUUUACAGAGGUCAUCAAGGUAAAGUGAGGUCGUUAGGAUGGGCCCUAGUGUGAUAUGAUUGGCGUCCCUACAAAAAGGGGAAAUUUGGACACGGAAACAGACAGGCAUUGAGGGAAGAUGAUGUGAAGAGACACAGGGAGAAGAUGUCAUCUACAAGCCACAGAGAGAGGCCCAGAGCAGACCCUCCCUUACUGCCCUCAGAAGGAGCCAGCCCUGCCAAUGCCUCGAUCUUGGACUUCCAGCCUCCAGAGCUUUCAGACAAUAAACGUCUGCUGUUUCAGCCCCCAUCUGUGGGACUUUCUUAAGGCAGCCCUAGCAACAAACCCACCUGCCCUGUUGACUUCCUGAAAUGAGAGAGCCACACGGCAGUGCUGCAUAAAGGGCAAGUGCUGCGGAUUCAUUCAGGCCAUGAGCAAUCAUUGAGCACCAACAGUGUGCCAGGGACCAUGCGUGAGCGCUAGGGGUCUGCACCACCAACUUAGAUAAAGUCCCUAACUUGCUUCCUUUACAUAAGUUAUUCUCCUAGCCACCAUGCAAGUGGAAUCAUCUCAGACUGCUACAGUCUUCAUAGCUCCUAGCUAAUCAUUAAGCACAUUGUAGGUGCUUAAUAAAUGCCUAAAUAAUUGAUUUACUA
This is a non-coding RNA of Macaca mulatta (Rhesus monkey), 2832 nucleotides long. Lineage: Eukaryota; Metazoa; Chordata; Mammalia; Primates; Cercopithecidae. The record is from RefSeq and is a predicted model, not a curated record.